This 253-nucleotide ribosomal RNA is filed under the name uncultured bacterium. RNAcentral describes it as "partial 16S ribosomal RNA". It matches the Rfam family "Bacterial small subunit ribosomal RNA", at positions 524 to 776 of the family's 1533-position model. The record is from RNAcentral.
UACGUAGGCAGCAAGCGUUGUUCGGAGUUACUGGGCGUAAAGGGUGUGUAGGUGGCCCUCUAAGUUCCGUGUGAAAUCUCCCGGCUUAACCGGGAGGGUGCGCGGAAAACUGGAAGGCUAGAGUGCGGGAUGGGAGAGUAGAAUUCCUGGUGUAGCGGUGAAAUGCGUAGAUAUCAGGAGGAAUACCAGUGGUGUAGACGGCUCUCUGGACCGUAACUGACACUGAGACACGAAAGCGUGGGUAGCAAACAGG